AUGGGAGGGGGCCAGAGCAGCCUAAGAACAAGGCCCAGGCCAGAAACUCAAGCGAGGUGCUCAGGUGCCCCCCACCCCCCCGGCCCUCACCCAGGGGUGGCCUGGUCGGCCGCAGCCGGGGCCAGGAGGCGGGUGUCACGGCGCGGACGCCGGGGUCCGGAAGAGCGAACCCGGGACGAGCCAGGGACGAGCCAGGGACGGAGCCGAGUGGCGCGAGCCGGGCCGGUGUCCCCCCCCUCCCCCCGGCAGGUGGCCAAGCGACAGAUUUCCUGGGCGACCGAGUGGCGGGGAGGGAAACCGCCCGGUCCUGCCACCUGCUGCCCGGGGCCAGAGCAGGCGCCCAGGUCGCGCGGCCUCAGAAACGCCGCUGGCCCGAAACCGGGGGCAGGCAGCCGGGGGCGCACCAAGGCCUCGCUCUGGGGGACAAGGGCGGCUGCCGAGGGUCCCCCGGGCCGCGCGGGGGGCGCCGGGGCGCGGCCCGGGCGGGCGGGGGGCGGCGAGGACGGCGGGGACCGCGAGGACCGCGAGGCCCCGCCCCGCCGCCCCGCCCCGCCCCGCCCGCCGUGUCCCCGGCGACCGAGACCUCCGCGCCGGGCGGGGGCCGCGGGAGGGGGAGCCUGGCCCGGUUGCUGCGCAACGGCCGGUGACGUCAGGCGAUUGAGUUUGGUUCCCAAGGUAACUGGCCGGGCAGCUGGGCCGGGAACUAUUUGUGUCUGUCCCCAGAGGGGCUGCGGAGCCUCCGGGGUCUGGCGCAGCCGAGGAAAUGCGCCGCUGGCCCGCGGGCAGGCGGGGGACAGAACACAGAGGCCCUUUCAGCUCCCGGAGGCCGGCGACCCGGGCGGGGCGGCGUCUGCGCCCCACGGGAGGACGCCCCUCCUCCGCUCCCUGCCGCCCCGGCUCUCUCCCCACGCCCGAGGGGGAGGCCCUGCACCGGCGGGCUUUGUCCUACUUAUAAACGCCCUCCUGGGUAAACUGGGGGAAGAAAGGGGCUUCUGUGUGCAGCGGCCCGGCCCCCCCGCCCCCAACCCCGCUGCACACAGUAGGCGCUCAGCACAGCACUCCCGGGCGCUCGCAACCCCACGUGGCGCUCCAUCUCCAGCGCCUCCCUACCUGUCCUCCGUGCCCUGGAGAGCGCAUCAGCAGAUGGGCUCCAUAAUCGGAGGGGCGGGGAGCACAAUGCAGAAAUGA
This 1188-nucleotide long non-coding RNA is filed under the name Canis lupus familiaris (dog). RNAcentral describes it as "lncRNA (ENSCAFG00000050720.1)". Lineage: Eukaryota; Metazoa; Chordata; Mammalia; Carnivora; Canidae. The record is from RNAcentral.